Non-coding RNA from Jatropha curcas, 343 nucleotides. NCBI's taxonomy places the organism in Eukaryota, Viridiplantae, Streptophyta, Magnoliopsida, Malpighiales, Euphorbiaceae. The record is from RefSeq and is a predicted model, not a curated record.
AACCGGUCAAAAGAGAGAGACUAGAAAAUAAAACCACAAGUAUCCUUAACAACCAACAGCAUCAGUUGACGCAUUGUUUCUCUCUCUCUCUCUCUCUGUGCAAAAUUCAAAUACGAAAAUAAAAUCAUGAUAAGAAGUUAUGUAUAUCAUGAUGUUAUCAGGCUGGGUGAUGCUUAUAAAUUGCCUUUGUUCAAGUAAUUGAAUUUUUGGAUGGCAAUUGAAUAAUUAAUUAGAUAAUUGAACACACUUGAGGAAUACAUAUAUGAAAUUGCACUCUUCUUAUACUUCAUUUCUUUUUAAUUUUAAAUAUGCUAAUAUACUGUUUUUAGAGCCUUUCUUUUAA